Molecule: non-coding RNA, 691 nt
Organism: Pelobates cultripes (western spadefoot toad)
Lineage: Eukaryota; Metazoa; Chordata; Amphibia; Anura; Pelobatidae
Source: the annotation of a GenBank genome assembly
CCAGGAAUUGCCUGGUGUUGACCAGAGUGCAUGAAACCACCAGUCACAGACUGUUCCACAACGUGCUCAGGCAAUGUUUCACCACAGCAACACAACACUGAGUGCAUCUCUUUUUUACCUGUAUUUUUUGGUCUGUUCCCUUGCAUUAAUACACACAGAAAAUUGUUUGCAGGUAUAUACUAAUAAAGGUUUAUCUCCAGCAGAGAACCAAAGUAGGUCCAUCUAGAAACAGAUCAGAUGCUAUGUAUGACUUGUGUGGCAAUAUGUUUGGGAUUGUGUGCUAAGGAUGUGCCUUAAAUAAAGGUGGUUCUCAUAGAACUUUGCAUGAUAGCAAUUUGGCAACAUUAUAUAAAGGCUUUAACUUAGGUAGCACAAUGCAUUCCAAAUGUCCCAGUUAGUUUAACAAAACCCGCAGGAACAACAUACAAACAUGAUAUAAUACAACUAACUGUGGCAGAGGUAGUUGAUGAAAAAGCUGCAUUUAAUGUACCACAAUGAUAAAACUAAAGAAGAGCUUCUAUCAGCACGUAUAUCAUCUCCCCUAGGUGAGGCCACUGGACCUGUCCCAUAGUGCAUAGCACUACUGUGCAAUAGACAUCCUAUCCUCACUCUUGUCUGAUCCCAUACACUAUUGCUGUGGAUAUAACAGUUUUGCCAGGAAUGAACACAAUGCCCCAGCUAUAGAGUCAUA